AUUGAACGCUGGCGGCAGGCCUAACACAUGCAAGUCGAGCGGAUGAGGGGAGCUUGCUCCUGGAUUCAGCGGCGGACGGGCGAGUAAUGCCUAGGAAUCUGCCUGGUAUUGGGGGAUAACGUCCGGAAACGGGCGCUAAUACCGCAUACGAUCUGAUGGUGAAAGUGGUGGAUCUUCGGAGCUAACGCUACCAGAUGAGCCUAGGUCGUAUUAGCUAGUUGGUGGGGUAAAGGCCUACCAAGGCGACUAUCCGUAACUGGUCUGAGAGGAUGAUCAGUCACACUGGAACUGAGACCCGGUCCAGACUCCUACGGGAGGCAGCCGUGGGGAAUAUUGGACCAUGGGCGGAAGCCUGAUCCAGCCAUGCCGCGUGUGUGAAGAAGGUCUUCGGAUUGUAAAGCACUUUAAGUUGGGAGGAAGGGAAGUAAGUUAAUACCUUGCUGUUUUGACGUUACCAACAGAAUAAGCCCCGGCUAACUUCGUG
Molecule: ribosomal RNA, 484 nt
Filed under: uncultured bacterium
Lineage: Bacteria
Description: partial 16S ribosomal RNA
Rfam family: Bacterial small subunit ribosomal RNA
Source: RNAcentral